This 810-nucleotide ribosomal RNA is filed under the name Leptophyton benayahui. RNAcentral's name for it is "eukaryotic LSU rRNA". It matches the Rfam family "Eukaryotic large subunit ribosomal RNA", at positions 402 to 999 of the family's 3401-position model. Lineage: Eukaryota; Metazoa; Cnidaria; Anthozoa; Malacalcyonacea; Leptophytidae. The record is from RNAcentral.
AAACCGUUGAAAGGGAAGCGAAUGGAGUUAGCAAUUCGCCCUGCCAGAUUCAGUCGUUCGCGCAUCGCGACGCGAGUGCUCUCGAUCCGCAUGGACGAGACGCGCGCGGGCACGGCGUGCGGACGCCGCACUUCUGGCGGGCGRGCGUCAGCGUCGGUUGGCGACGGGCGACAAGGACUCGAGGAAGGUGGACCGGUUUCGCGACCGGUUGUUAUUAGCCUCGUGCUUCUCGCAUGGCCCGACGGCGACCGUGGAAAUCUCAUCACGACGACGCGUGCCUGGCUGGCGACCCGAACGAUCGGUCCGGCAUGUCGACCGUGGCGGACGGCACGCCUGUGCGCUCGAACUGCUGUCGGUCGAUCGCUUUGGUGCUCGCACAAUACGCGUCUGGGAUGCUGACGACCAUACGGCUCUAUCCGACCCGUCUUGAAACACGGACCAAGGAGUCUAACAUGUGCGCGAGUCUCCGGGUGAUCGAAACCCGUGGGCGCAAUGAAAGUAAAGGUCGUCCCCGCGACGAUUGAGGUGAGAAGCGCGACACGACAUCUCGAGUGUUCGCCGCAUCAUCGACCGACCUAUUCUGCUCACAGAGAGGUUUGAGUAAGAGCGUAUCUGUUGGGACCCGAAAGAUGGUGAACUAUGCCUGAAUAGGGUGAAGCCAGCGGAAACACUGGUGGAAGCUCGUAGCGAUUCUGACGUGCAAAUCGAUCGUCGAAUUUGGGUAUAGCGGCGAAAGACUAAUCGAACCAUCUAGUAGCUGGUUCCCUCCGAAGUUUCCCUCAGGAUAGCUGGAGUUCAUACUUGUGCAGU